This 253-nucleotide ribosomal RNA is filed under the name uncultured bacterium. Its description in RNAcentral is "partial 16S ribosomal RNA". It matches the Rfam family "Bacterial small subunit ribosomal RNA", at positions 524 to 776 of the family's 1533-position model. The record is from RNAcentral.
UACGUAGGUGGCAAGCGUUGUCCGGAAUCAUUGGGCGUAAAGCGCGUGUAGGCGGCUCGGUAAGUCCGCUCUGAAAGCCCGGGGCUCAACCCCGGGAGGCGGGUGGAUACUGCUGAGCUCGAGUCCGGAAGAGGAGUGUGGAAUUCCUGGUGUAGCGGUGACAUGCGCAGAUAUCAGGAGGAACACCAAUGGCGAAGGCAGCACUCUGGGACGGUACUGACGCUGAGACGCGAAAGCGUGGGGAGCAAACAGG